UAAAGGAAGCGAUUCCGGCUACGGAUGGUCAUGCGUCGCAUUAGCUAGUUGGCGGGGUAACGGCCCACCAGGGCGACGAUGCGUAGGGGUUCUGAGAGGAAGGUCCCCCACACUGGUACUGAGACACGGACCAGACUCCUACGGGAGGCAGCAGUGAGGAAUAUUGGUCAAUGGCCGCAGGGCUGAACCAGCCAAGUCGCGUGAGGGAUGACGGUCCUAUGGAUUGUAAACCUCUUUUGUCAGGGAGCAAAGGGCGCCACGUGUGGCGCUUUGCGAGUACCUGAAGAAAAAGCAUCGGCUAACUCCGUGCCAGCAGCCGCGGUAAUACGGAGGAUGCGAGCGUUAUCCGGAUUUAUUGGGUUUAAAGGGUGCGCAGGCGGAAUGUCAAGUCAGCGGUAAAAUUUCGGGGCUCAACCCCGUCGUGCCGUUGAAACUGGCGUUCUUGAGUGAGCGAGAAGUAUGCGGAAUGCGUGGUGUAGCGGUGAAAUGCAUAGAUAUCACGCAGAACUCCGAUUGCGAAGGCAGCAUACCGGCGCUCAACUGACGCUCAUGCACGAAAGCGUGGGUAUCGAACAGGAUUAGAUACCCUGGUAGUCCACGCAGUAAACGAUGAAUACUAACUGUCCGGGCAGAAUGAUGCCUGG
Molecule: ribosomal RNA, 644 nt
Filed under: uncultured bacterium
Lineage: Bacteria
Description: bacterial SSU rRNA
Rfam family: Bacterial small subunit ribosomal RNA
Source: RNAcentral